Long non-coding RNA from Acanthopagrus latus (yellowfin seabream), 716 nucleotides. RefSeq lists it as uncharacterized. The transcript is spliced from 2 exons. The record is from RefSeq and is a predicted model, not a curated record. Lineage: Eukaryota; Metazoa; Chordata; Actinopteri; Spariformes; Sparidae.
AAAUCAUUGGCCAAGUGUGAAACACUGGUAAUCAGGCAGCGUGUUAACUAGAGUACACAAAAGAAUUUCAUUCUGUAGUUUGUCCACAGAAUUGUGUUAAUUAAUGACAACAGGUGGCCACAGCUGUCAGUUAAUUUAAACCAGCCACAGAUGUCAGAGCUCCGUGUUAACAUGCCUCACAGACACAAUGGGAGUGUUUUGUUUUUGCAGGGUGUCUCUGAUGUGCAAAACAUUACAAAUGAAUUCAACUAAGGAGGAAUUCUGACCUCUGCCACAGCCGGUGUCACCUCCAAGUUCACAGCGAUCACUGAGCGGCUCUGGCAGACAGACAACAAUGUCCUGCCACGGGGGUCAUCCCUCCCUCCUUCAGUAAAACAAUGAUCUCACUCCCCGUACCAGGAAUCCGCUGAUUGUUUGAAAUACCUUCCACUGUGCUUGACUGAGCACAACUUCUUUUUCCCAUCGACCCGGAGGACGGAGAGAGAGGUGUCGGAAAACAAAAUGACCUUGGCGGGACACUUAAAGUCCUCUAGCAAGAUGGGAACUGCCUUCAUUUGGCCCCUCACAACCAACUAGCCAAGUCAGUGAGAAUCACUGUAGAACACAGAGUGACUUAUGAUGCUCAGAUAUGCAAAAAUCCAUCUUCCUGACCAAUUUCAAGGCCAAUAUCAACACCUGAGACAAAAACAUUAAAAUAAAAACACCAUAUCACCUUA